AUUGAACGCUGGCGGCAGGCCUAACACAUGCAAGUCGAGCGGUAACACAGAGGAGCUUGCUCCUUGGGUGACGAGCGGCGGACGGGUGAGUAAUGCCUGGGGAUCUGCCCGAUAGAGGGGGAUAACUACGGGAAACUGUAGCUAAUACCGCAUAAUGUCUACGGACCAAAGUGGGGGAUCUUCGGACCUCAUGCUAUCGGAUGAACCCAGGUGGGAUUAGCUAGUUGGUGAGGUAAUGGCUCACCAAGGCGACGAUCUCUAACUGGUUUGAGAGAAUGACCAGUCACACUGGAACUGAGACACGGUCCAGACUCCUACGGGAGGCAGCAGUGGGGAAUAUUGCACAAUGGGCGCAAGCCUGAUGCAGCCAUGCCGCGUGUGUGAAGAAGGCCUUCGGGUUGUAAAGCACUUUCAGCGGGGAGGAAGGGUCACUAGUUAAUACCUAGUGGCAUUGACGUUACUCGCAGAAGAAGCACCGGCUAACUCCGUGCCAGCAGCCGCGGUAAUACGGAGGGUGCAAGCGUUAAUCGGAAUUACUGNGCGUAAAGCGCACGCAGGCGGUUUGUUAAGUCANAUGUGAAAUCCCCGAGCUCAACUUGGGAACUGCAUUUGAAACUGGCAAGCUAGAGUCUUGNAGAGGGGGGUAGAAUUCC
This 653-nucleotide ribosomal RNA is filed under the name uncultured prokaryote. RNAcentral's name for it is "bacterial SSU rRNA". It matches the Rfam family "Bacterial small subunit ribosomal RNA", at positions 28 to 670 of the family's 1533-position model. The record is from RNAcentral.